GCCCUCUCCUCCUCCGUUCCCCUCUCCUCCCCCGUCGCCCUCGCCGCCCUCGCCUCCUCCUCCCAGCCCCCCGCCCCCGUCGCCCUCUCCCCCCCCUCCCUCGCCUCCCCCUCCCUCGCCUCCGCCUACCCCCAGCCCCUCGCCGCCUCCCAGCCCUCCUCCCUCCCCCUCGCCUCCUCCUCCCUCGCCCCCUCCUCCCUCGCCCGAGCCCCCGUCGCCCGAGCCUCCGUCGCCCUCCCCUCCCCCCCCGAGCCCCGGCACUGACAGCAAGGACACUCGCAGCGAGGGCCAGGUCCAGAUCAUCAAGUCAACCGGCGAGGACGAGAUCCUUCCCAACAUCGAUAGCCCUCCCCUCAUUCCUUCGGACACCCAGCCAUCUACUGGUCCUACCUCUGCCGCCGUUGAGGGCACGGGUAGCUUCACCGAGGUGGUGCCCGACUGUGUUGAGAACUGCGCCAUCGUCGGCGGUCCCGGCAAGGUCGAGGGCGGCUCUGCCGUGGGUGUGCCCGUUGAGGAGCUGAAGAACGUGGACACCAACGGCGGCAUGUCUGUGCCUCCCACCGUGCCCGAGGUCCCUGUGCCCACGGCCACCGUGGUCACCAACACCGACGGCUCCACCACCACCACCUACCCCAACGGCACCGUGGUCAUUGAGUGGAAUGACGGCACCACCAAGACCACCACCACGGACGGCACGACCAGCACCACGAAGGUUGACGGCACUGAGAUUGUGACCACCCCCAACGGCACCGAGACCACUACCAAGCCCAAUGGCGAGGUGAUCACCAAGUACCCCAACGGCACCAUCGUUGACGAGAAGCCUGGCGGAACCACCAUCACCACCACACCUGACGGCAAGACCGUGACUGAGAGCCCCGGCGGCACCGUCACCACCGUCACGCCCACUCCCAGCGGCGGCACCAACACCACCGUCGAGCAGCCCAACGGCUCCACCUCGACCACUAUCAAGGACUCCACCGGCAGCACCACCAGCUCCUCCACCAAGCAGCCCGACGGCACCAACUCCACUUCGACCACCACCUCUGGCGGCACCACCACCGUGGUCACUUAUCCCAACGGCACCAUUGACACGACCAACCCUGACGGCAAGGAGAUCAUUUCCUACCCCAACGGCACCACCGUGACCAAGAACACCGACGGCUCGACCAGCACCACCACCAGCUCCGGCACCACCACCGUCACCAACCCUGACGGCUCGACCAAGGUCACCACGUCUGACGGCACCUCCACCACCACCUAUUCCAACGGCACCGUCGUGACGGUCAAGACUGACAACACCACCACCUACACCUACCCCAACGGGACCACCAGCACCACAACUCCCGACACCACUGUCACCGUCAAGUACCCCGAUGGCUCCUCCACCGUUACCCAGCCCGGCGGCACCACGAUUGUGACGACCACCGACAAGACCGUCACGGUCACUGAGCCUGAUGGCACCAAGACUGUGAUCACGGUUGACGGCACCAAGACCGUCACUGAGCCUGAUGGCACCAAGACCGUUGAGAAGCCGGACGGCCAGGUC
This 1546-nucleotide long non-coding RNA is filed under the name Chlamydomonas reinhardtii. RNAcentral describes it as "long non-coding RNA (CREI_LNC000578)". The record is from RNAcentral. Lineage: Eukaryota; Viridiplantae; Chlorophyta; Chlorophyceae; Chlamydomonadales; Chlamydomonadaceae.